CCUACGGGAGGCAGCAGUGAGGAAUAUUGGUCAAUGGGCGAUAGCCUGAACCAGCCAAGUCGCGUGAGGGAAGACGGCCCUACGGGUUGUAAACCUCUUUUGUCAGGGAGUAAAAGAGAAUACGUGUAUUCUAUUGAGAGUACCUGAAGAAAAAGCAUCGGCUAACUCCGUGCCAGCAGCCGCGGUAAU
Molecule: ribosomal RNA, 189 nt
Filed under: uncultured rumen bacterium
Lineage: Bacteria
Description: partial 16S ribosomal RNA
Rfam family: Bacterial small subunit ribosomal RNA
Source: RNAcentral